This 89-nucleotide transfer RNA is filed under the name Hirsutella minnesotensis 3608. It matches the Rfam family "tRNA". Rfam says of the family: Transfer RNA (tRNA) molecules are approximately 80 nucleotides in length. Their secondary structure includes four short double-helical elements and three loops (D, anti-codon, and T loops). Lineage: Eukaryota; Fungi; Ascomycota; Sordariomycetes; Hypocreales; Ophiocordycipitaceae. The record is from Rfam by way of RNAcentral.
GCCUCCAUAGCUCAGGGGUUAGAGCGUCAUGCUUGUAAGCCAAUCGCUAGGAGACAUGAAAGUCCAUGGUUCAAAUCCGUGUGGAGGCU